Acanthochromis polyacanthus (spiny chromis) is the source of this 2800-nucleotide long non-coding RNA. RefSeq lists it as uncharacterized. The transcript is spliced from 2 exons. The record is from RefSeq and is a predicted model, not a curated record. NCBI's taxonomy places the organism in Eukaryota, Metazoa, Chordata, Actinopteri, Pomacentridae.
CUGUAGGAUCUGCAAAGGACAGAAGCGGGACUGAAUUUAUUAAGCUAGGCGCACAUCUCAGGCCUCAAGCAGAAACAAAUCCAUAACAGAGAAAGAAUGAGCCUUAAUCAGAUGUGAACAGCAGGCUGAUGGAUCUGGUUCAAGUACAGCAUGGCAAAUAUCUACCUGCAAGCCUCAACACAAGCAGCAGAAGGAGAAGCUUCAUGAUGUAUGCAGUUUUGGUAGCCUUCUUCAGUAGCUCCAACCUAAUAUGUAGGCACUUUGAUCAGUCUUUCUCCUUUAUACCCGACGGCUUUUAGGACGACAGUGGGAGGAACUGACAGCUUUAUUGCUUUUCAGCAUCAUUUCCCAUCCAGCCGUAACCUUUGUAUAAACGUUAUCGAAGAAGAUUUCAACACCUUUGGUUAACAAUAUGUUCCAUAGAGCAAAACACUUCCUUGUUCCUCAUUCCUUUUCUGAAAACAAGAAGAACUUUCAUUUAUCAUAGAUCUGGUAAAUCUUCUUUAGACAUGAACAAUUCCAGUCACGGUUUUUGUGAUUUUGUGUGUAAGCUCAUAGUAUAAAGAUCAGCAAAGACUUACAGCACCACACAGAUUCUUUUUGUCAUAACGCUGGAGACCUGAUUCCCAUUUCUACUUAUAAAGGUUAAUAUUUUAUGAAACAGUUAAUUAUUAUUAACUGUUUCAUAAUAUUAAUUGAAAUAUUGCACAACACCAAAUGGCCUUUUGGGAAACCUAAAGAUCUACUAGUCAUAUUCUCUCUCUCUCACCCUUCGAAUCUGUAGAAACAUGAGAAAUUUUCCCCAAAUUAUUCCUAAAAUUGAGCAGUGAUUAAUCCACGAACCCACUAUAGCAAUAGCCAUCCAGCUAUAUGCGUUUUAUUGCCUUGAGUGUUGCUGGAGGGUGGAUACUGAUCCAGGUGGUGGAAUAGGGGUACACAGAUGACUAGUCCAUCACAGGGCUAACACAAAGAGAGACAACCAUGCAUGUUAGAAUGCAUGCUGAAAGCAAAUUUAGAAUCACCCAUUAACCUGCCAUGUGCAGACUGUGUGAGAAAUCCAGAGAGAAUCCAUGCAGGCACAGGGACAAUAUGCAAACUCCAUCCAGAAUGACCCAGGCCUGCACCAGCGUGUUCAAAAACAGAACCUUCUUAGACUGAUUUUCUACAUAGUUUUUAUUAGGAAAUGGUAGAAAUUGGUUUAUUUUGGAUAUUUUAUGAGAUGUUCGGAAAACUAUAUCAGUGUUUACGCCCUAAUCACCGUGUCUGAUCAUAGAUAAAAUGCUAAACAUUGUAGAAACUUUAUGAGCUUCAUUGGAUCAAACUAUAUCAGUACAUGUUUCAAAUUACUAAGCAUGACACGAUAGAAGCACGAAGCGUGAAAACAAACGACUGCUUGAUUAUUACAGCCUAGUUUACAGGCCACAUCGCCAAAAAUCUGUGAUAACUAAGGUAGAACAGGAGAUCCAAAAACAUGAACAUUCAGUUGUGUUGUCUGCUUCUCAUACAGCUGCAUCUGCAGUCAUCUGAUACUCUUUGAUGCCUGCUAGCAGUCCACCGAUCCCUGUACAUUAUUGUAUGUUGUGGAAAAUUUAUCCACUUACCGAUUGAAAUAUUUAUGGAUUAUUUUGUCUGACAAGAGGAUUUUACUGGAGCUGUAUAGCUAAAAAAAAAAAAAAUUAGGCUUCCUCAUGAAAACAAGCAGACUGAAAUGCAAUGUGGAUUCAUCUGACAGCCAUUGCAUCUGCUUUGUUUAUCCGUAACCCAUGGUAACCACCCCUUCGCAACACCACUGGUUAUAAGACAUAAACUUACUUUACAAUCCCUUGCAGGUGUGGAGGCCAUAAUUGCAUUCAGUUGCAGAUAUCGGAUGGGUGGAGUGCAAUAAAUAAGGAUGACUGCAUCGAAAUCAAAUGUCUGUUUCAUUCUAAAAAAUAGUAGCAAAAGCAGCAGUGGUCGUAUUACAAUACUGUAGUCCUUAAGAUUUGCACACAUGUGUAGUUGGUCCUGUUUGGCUCUGCUGUAUACAUCUUUCGUAACAACUACACAAACCCAUGCCUAAAAGCUAUUUCAUCUCUUUUGUUUGUAUUGGCUGUAGCUUCUGAAGAGGACACAUGUUGUAGAUUUAUGCAUUAAUUAAAAAUCAAAGCACUCUUGCAUCACUGCUUGUCAGAAUCCAUAAAACCAACUCCCUCGUCUUUGUUGUUUAUUCUUCUCCAUCAGUUUCUCUGCGAUCACAUUUUACAUGUUGUUUCUUUUCAUCCAUUAUUAAUUGCAACAGAGCCCUCUGUUCUGGUGCUGCCUCAGCUGAUAAAAGUCUUGUGCCUCAUUGUAGAUUCAUACAGACAAAAACUGAUUCUUUGCAUCAGUGAGCUGAAAGAAGACACGGGUCUUACACACACUCACACACAGAUGGGAGCAGUAUGCACAAUUUGCUGUAUCAAACACUAAACUAGCUUGUGGAAAGGAGACGUCACAUUUUGUUUGUUUGCUGGUUUUAGUAUAAAUAUUUUAUUUGAAGAUAUGACAUGAAUAUUUCAAUUUAUCCAGAGAUACCAGAGAAUCAGCGCUAGUAGGUGGUGUUACAUGUCUGAAUCAUUUGCAUUAUUUUCACAUCUGAUUUUUAACUCUCAGACCUAUGCACAAAUGAAAUGGUACAUGACAAGAUACUCUGUGCUCCCGUCCAGUUUACUCCAUGCAAGCUGGUAACUGCCUUUAUAAAAGAUCACCGUCUCCAAUCAGAGGAUAUCAUCAUCUACCCCCCGUGCAGGUUCUGAAGAUGCUGUCUGAAGUUAUGAAGUUU